GACGAACGCUGGCGGCGUGCUUAACACAUGCAAGUCGAACGGGAUCCGGGCUUUCGGGUUUGGUGAGAGUGGCGAACGGGUGAGUAACACGUGAGUAACCUGCCCCCUUCUUUGGGAUAACGUCGGGAAAUCGGCGCUAAUACUGGAUAUUCUUGCUGCAUCGCAUGGUGUGGUUUGGAAAGGGUUUCUGGUGGGGGAUGGGCUCGCGGCCUAUCAGCUUGUUGGUGGGGUGAUGGCCUACCAAGGCUUUGACGGGUAGCCGGCCUGAGAGGGUGUCCGGCCACACUGGGACUGAGACACGGCCCAGACUCCUACGGGAGGCAGCAGUGGGGAAUAGUGCACAAUGGGCGCAAGCCUGAUGCAGCGACGCCGCGUGAGGGAUGACGGCCUUCGGGUUGUAAACCCCUUUCAGUAUGGAACAAGGAUCCUUCUUUUGGGGGGUUUGAGGGUACGUGCAGAAGAAGCGCCGGCUAACUACGUG
Molecule: ribosomal RNA, 481 nt
Filed under: uncultured bacterium
Lineage: Bacteria
Description: partial 16S ribosomal RNA
Rfam family: Bacterial small subunit ribosomal RNA
Source: RNAcentral